CCUACGGGAGGCAGCAGUGGGGAAUUUUCCGCAAUGGGCGAAAGCCUGACGGAGCAAUACCGCGUGAGGGAUGAAGGCCUAUGGGUUGUAAACCUCUUUUUUCAGGGAGGAACAAAUGACGUGUACCUGAAGAAUAAGCAUCGGCUAACUCCGUGCCAGCAGCCGCGGUAAGACGGGGGAUGCAAGUGUUAUCCGGAAUCACUGGGCGUAAAGCGUCUGUAGGUGGUUAAAUAAGUCAACUGUUAAAUCUUGAGGCUUAACUUCAAAAUCGCAGUCGAAACUGUUUGACUAGAGUAUAGUAGGGGUAAAGGGAAUUUCCAGUGGAGCGGUGAAAUGCGUAGAUAUUGGAAAGAACACCGAUGGCGAAGGCACUUUACUGGGCUAUUACUAACACUGAGAGACGAAAGCUAGGGUAGCAAAUGGGAUUAGAUACCCCAGUAGUCCUAGCUGUAAACAAUGGAUACUAGAUGUUGAACAGAUCGACCUGUGCAGUAUCAAAGCUAACGCGUUAAGUAUCCCGCCUGGGAAGUAUGCUCGCAAGAGUGAAACUUAAAGAGAUGAACGGUNUGAGAGUGCGAGACGACGACGAGGAGAGG
Molecule: ribosomal RNA, 596 nt
Filed under: uncultured bacterium
Lineage: Bacteria
Description: bacterial SSU rRNA
Rfam family: Bacterial small subunit ribosomal RNA
Source: RNAcentral